Long non-coding RNA from Astyanax mexicanus (Mexican tetra), 539 nucleotides. RefSeq lists it as uncharacterized. The record is from RefSeq and is a predicted model, not a curated record. NCBI's taxonomy places the organism in Eukaryota, Metazoa, Chordata, Actinopteri, Characiformes, Acestrorhamphidae. The transcript is spliced from 5 exons.
CACGCAGCCCUCGCCUCCAGCUGCAGCAGGCUAAUAUAAAUAAUGAUUUAUUUAUGUGCAGGAGAGAAACUGCGGCGGAGCUGGAGGACAGCAGCCCACCUGAGAGGAGCUUCAGAGCGGCCCUGAGGAUCAUCUGGAGAAGAAGCUCCAGAAAGCAGACAGGAAGACCGGAAGAUCCAACGAGUCGGGAGGAGCAUGCAGGACCAGGAUAAAAAUGCAAUUCCAAAGCAGGAUUUCUGAUAAAAAAGAACAGCAGACACAAGAUGCCAACAGAGCAAUUCCGGGCAAAGAGAAGAGAAGAGCAGUGAAUUCAGGUCCUGAAACACCAGCCAGCGUUCUCAAAAACUAAGGUUCUACAAAGGGAUUUUUAAAUGGGAUGUGGGUGUGAAGAACUUUUUACCCUGUGCCUAACAACUUUCAGGACCUGAUGGAGCAAAUCAAGAUCUAAUCAUAUGGAACAUCAUGCUUAUGCACUUUCUGAAACCCUGCUGAUUAAGUGUCCUAAAAGAAACAAAGUAAAGAAAAACGUUUUUGCAAAA